Molecule: ribosomal RNA, 253 nt
Filed under: uncultured bacterium
Lineage: Bacteria
Description: partial 16S ribosomal RNA
Rfam family: Bacterial small subunit ribosomal RNA
Source: RNAcentral
GACGUAGGGAGCGAGCGUUGUCCGGAUUCAUUGGGCGUAAAGAGCUCGUAGGCGGUUUGUUGCGUCGGCUGUGAAAUCCCGAGGCUCAACCUCGGGUCUGCAGUCGAUACGAGCAAACUAGAGUGUUGCAGGGGAGACUGGAAUUCCUGGUGUAGCGGUGAAAUGCGCAGAUAUCAGGAAGAACACCGGUGGCGAAGGCGGGUCUCUGGGCAACAACUGACGCUGAGGAGCGAAAGCGUGGGGAGCGAACAGG